Molecule: ribosomal RNA, 893 nt
Filed under: fungal endophyte
Lineage: Eukaryota; Fungi
Description: eukaryotic LSU rRNA
Rfam family: Eukaryotic large subunit ribosomal RNA (bases 484-893)
Source: RNAcentral
UACCGAGUUUACAACUCCCAAACCCAUGUGAACAUACCUAUUGUUGCUUCGGCGGGAUUGCCCCGGGCGCCUCGCGUGCCCCGGAUCAGGCGCCCGCCUAGGAACUUUAACUCUUGUUUUAUUUUGAAUCUUCUGAGUAGUUUUUACAAAUAAAUAAAAACUUUCAACAACGGAUCUCUUGGUUCUGGCAUCGAUGAAGAACGCAGCGAAAUGCGAUAAGUAAUGUGAAUUGCAGAAUUCAGUGAAUCAUCGAAUCUUUGAACGCACAUUGCGCCCGCCAGUAUUCUGGCGGGCAUGCCUGUCUGAGCGUCAUUUCAACCCUCAUGCCCCUAGGGCGUGGUGUUGGGGAUCGGCCAAAGCCCGCAAGGGACGGCCGGCCCCUAAAUCUAGUGGCGGACCCGUCGUGGCCUCCUCUGCGAAGUAGUGAUAUUCCGCAUCGGAGAGCGAUGAGCCCCUGCCGUUAAACCCCCAACUUUCUAAGGUUGACCUCAGAUCAGGUAGGAAUACCCGCUGAACUUAAGCAUAUCAAUAAGCGGAGGAAAAGAAACCAACAGGGAUUGCCCUAGUAACGGCGAGUGAAGCGGCAACAGCUCAAAUUUGAAAUCUGGCGCAAGNNCNAGUUGUAAUUUGUAGAGGAUGUUUCUGGCGACGUGCCUUCCGAGUUCCCUGGAACGGGACGCCAUAGAGGGUGAGAGCCCCGUACGGUUGGAUGCCUAGCCUCUGUGAAACUCCUUCGACGAGUCGAGUAGUUUGGGAAUGCUGCUCUAAAUGGGAGGUAUACGUCUUCUAAAGCUAAAUACNCGNNNNAGACNCGAUAGCGCACAAGUAGAGUGAUCGAAAGAUGAAAAGCACUUUGAAAAGAGGGUUAAAAAGUACGUGAAAUUGUUGAAAGG